Molecule: long non-coding RNA, 535 nt
Filed under: Olea europaea (common olive)
Lineage: Eukaryota; Viridiplantae; Streptophyta; Magnoliopsida; Lamiales; Oleaceae
Description: long non-coding RNA (OEUR_LNC012213)
Source: RNAcentral
GCUUGAGAACACUAGGGAUGCAAUCUUGGUGGACGGAGAGGGUAGUGGUUCGAGCGACGAGGCCGAACAGGCGGGGGCCGAUGAUCGCGUGAAUGUUUCGAGCACAACAAGCGGCAGUAAAAGGAAGUCGUCCAGUGGGCAGCGCAGGGCCAGGAAGAAAAAUAUGUCCGCUCGUGAAUUGUUAUUCUAAGUAGAUCGUACUACCAGUGUGGCGGAGGAAGUAGCGGCAAAGAUUCAUACGAUGAUGGCUUCAAAUGAAACCGCUGGGAUGGACUGCAUCCAAGAGUUGUUAGUGACAGGCUCCUUCGAGCGGUGAACAUCUCUUUACUUCUUCACAUGCCAGCUUCUAGCCCAGAAGCGAUAUCGUGACAUGCUUGCCAUCAUGAAAGACGCAGAUAAGAAAUUUGAGUGGAUUGAGUGGAUGUUUAAUGACUCUGGAAAGUAACAAUGCCAGUGACUGUGUGCCUUUUUUUUUCCCUUUGCUGCCUGUAUGAAAAUUGUUGUAUUUUUGUUACGCACUUUUCUCCACUUGUUC